Molecule: long non-coding RNA, 339 nt
Filed under: Elaeis guineensis (African oil palm)
Lineage: Eukaryota; Viridiplantae; Streptophyta; Magnoliopsida; Arecales; Arecaceae
Description: long non-coding RNA (EGUI_LNC068274)
Source: RNAcentral
CAAUCCUCAAAUCUAUUUAGAUUGAAUUAAGCUUUUCAGAGUUGGAAUAUAUAUUUUGAAUGUAUGGCUUCAUUGAGAAUGAAGUAGAAUCCUGUAUGCACAAAUGGGCUAAUAGUUCUGUAAUAGUAUUCUUUAUGUUGUUUGGAUGAAAUUUUUUUAAUCAAGAAUGGCAUCCCUACAUUACAGGGAAUAAUAGCUUGGUUGUCAUCUCUAUUCUCCAUAUAUAUUUGGAAGGUUAUUAGAACCAUCCUUAAGUAUUUAUGAAAUACUAAGGACUAAUGGCUCGUUUAUGGAGAGUCUGACUUAAAACUUAUGGAAUAUUGAUUUUAAUUUUUAGUC